UAGGGAAUAUUGGACAAUGGGCGCAAGCCUGAUCCAGCCAUGCCGCGUGAGUGAUGAAGGCCUUAGGGUUGUAAAGCUCUUUCACCGGGGAAGAUAAUGACGGUACCCGGAGAAGAAGCCCCGGCUAACUCCGUGCCAGCAGCCGCGGUAAUACGGAGGGGGCUAGCGUUGUUCGGAAUUACUGGGCGUAAAGCGCGCGUAGGCGGUUCGGCAAGUUAGAUGUGAAAGCCCGGGGCUCAACCCCGGAAUUGCAUUUAAAACUGCUGGGCUAGAGGCCGAGAGAGGUGAGUGGAAUUCCCAGUGUAGAGGUGAAAUUCGUAGAUAUUGGGAAGAACACCAGUGGCGAAGGCGGCUCACUGGCUCGGUUCUGACGCUGAGGUGCGAAAGCGUGGGGAGCAAACAGGAUUAGAUACCCCCGUAGUCC
Molecule: ribosomal RNA, 424 nt
Filed under: uncultured prokaryote
Description: bacterial SSU rRNA
Rfam family: Bacterial small subunit ribosomal RNA
Source: RNAcentral